GAAGAAGGUGUGUCUCACUCUUUUGCCUGUUUCCUCCUUGGUGUUUACAGCUGCCAUAAACUGCGGCCCAGCCAUGCCACCCUGUCUUGGAGCCAACUGCGUAUGGACUGAAACCUCCAAAAACUUUGCUGUCAGCUCAGCCUGUGUUCCUGCAAAUCAGCCAGCUGCUUUCUGGACUGGCAGGAGGCUCUGACGGGCUGAGACCAGGACCGCCUUCCGCGGAAAGCAGCCGCCUGAACCAGCUGGCUCCAGUUUGCCCCACGGAGGGCCACUCCUCUAGCUUUUCUUGUUGUGCUCCAUCCCAAAAAAUACCCUCUUAAAAACUCAUUACACGUAAUUAAGUUGGGUAAUGAGAAGAUUCAUUUCCAAAAUUCAGAAUUUGAUACACAAAACCAAGAUCUCAUCAGCUGUCUAAGCAAUAAAGUUCUUCCUUUA
Long non-coding RNA from Cavia porcellus (domestic guinea pig), 435 nucleotides. RefSeq lists it as uncharacterized. The transcript has 3 exons. The record is from RefSeq and is a predicted model, not a curated record. NCBI's taxonomy places the organism in Eukaryota, Metazoa, Chordata, Mammalia, Rodentia, Caviidae.